GAAAACUUGGAUUAAUGCCCCGUAGUACCGUAUUUCGGCCUCGUUAUACGGUUAAAGCCUUCGGGCGGUACAAGAUGGCCAUGCGUCCCAUUAGCUGGAUGGUAAGGUAACGGCUUACCAUGGCUACGAUGGGUAGGGGCCCUGARAGGGGGAUCCCCCACACUGGUACUGAGACACGGACCAGACUCCUACGGGAGGCAGCAGUGAGGAAUAUUGGACAAUGGAGGAGACUCUGAUCCAGCUAUGCCGCGUGCAGGAAGAAUGCCCUAUGGGUAGUAAACUGCUUUUAUACGGGAAGAAAAAGAGCUACGUGUAGCUUACUGACGGUACCGUAAGAAUAAGGACCGGCUAACUCCGUGCCAGCAGCCGCGGUAAUACGGAGGGUCCGAGCGUUAUCCGGAAUUAUUGGGUUUAAAGGGUCCGUAGGCGGGCCGAUAAGUCAGGGGUGAAAGUCUGCCGCUCAACGGUAGAACUGCCUUUGAUACUGUCGGUCUUGAGUUAUAGUGAAGUUGCCGGAAUAUGUAGUGUAGCGGUGAAAUGCAUAGAUAUUACAUAGAACACCGAUUGCGAAGGCAGGUGACUAACUAUAUACUGACGCUGAUGGACGAAAGCGUGGGGAGCGAACAGGAUUAGAUACCCUGGUAGUCCACGCCGUAAACGAUGGAUACUAGCUGUCCGGAACCUUGAGUUCUGGGCGGCCAAGCGAAAGUGAUAAGUAUCCCC
RNAcentral lists this ribosomal RNA (723 nucleotides) under Maribacter sp. SRO_314. RNAcentral describes it as "bacterial SSU rRNA". It matches the Rfam family "Bacterial small subunit ribosomal RNA", at positions 152 to 871 of the family's 1533-position model. The record is from RNAcentral. Lineage: Bacteria; Pseudomonadati; Bacteroidota; Flavobacteriia; Flavobacteriales; Flavobacteriaceae.